AACGCGAAGAACCUUACCUGGGCUUGACAUGCAGGUGACCGCGGCAGAAAUGUCGUUUUCUCGCAAGAGACAGCUGCACAGGUGCUGCAUGGCUGUCGUCAGCUCGUGCCGUGAGGUGUUGGGUUAAGUCCCGCAACGAGCGCAACCCUUGUCGUUAGUUGCCAUCGCGUAAUGGCGGGCACUCUAACGAGACUGCCUAGGUUAACUAGGAGGAAGGUGAGGAUGACGUCAAGUCCGCAUGGCCCUUAUGCCCAGGGCCACACACGUGCUACAAUGGUCGGUACAGAAGGUAGCAAGACCGCAAGGUGGAGCAAAUCCUCAAAGCCGGCCCCAGUUCAGAUUGGAGUCUGCAACUCGACUCCAUGAAGUUGGAAUUGCUAGUAAUGGCGAGUCAGCUACAUCGCCGUGAAUACGUUCCCGGGCCUUGUACACACCGACGCGUA
Molecule: ribosomal RNA, 443 nt
Filed under: uncultured bacterium
Lineage: Bacteria
Description: bacterial SSU rRNA
Rfam family: Bacterial small subunit ribosomal RNA
Source: RNAcentral